RNAcentral lists this ribosomal RNA (460 nucleotides) under uncultured bacterium. RNAcentral describes it as "partial 16S ribosomal RNA". It matches the Rfam family "Bacterial small subunit ribosomal RNA", at positions 338 to 795 of the family's 1533-position model. The record is from RNAcentral.
CCUACGGGUGGCAGCAGUGAGGAAUAUUGGUCAAUGGACGAGAGUCUGAACCAGCCAAGUAGCGUGAAGGAUGACUGCCCUAUGGGCUGUAAACUUCUUUUAUAAAGGAAUAAAACGAGGCACGUGUGCCUCUUUGCAUGUACUUUAUGAAUAAGGAUCGGCUAACUCCGUGCCAGCAGCCGCGGUAAUACGGAGGAUCCGAGCGUUAUCCGGAUUUAUUGGGUUUAAAGGGAGCGUAGAUGGGUUGUUAAGUCAGGUGUGAAAGUUUGCGGCUCAACCGGAAAAUUGCAAUUGAUACUGGCAGUCUUGAGUACAGUUGAGGUAGGCGGAAUUCGUGGUGUAGCGGUGAAAUGCUUAGAUAUCUCGAAGAACCCCGAUUGCGAAGGCAGCUUACUAAACUGUGACUGACAUUGAUGCUCGAAAGUGUGGGUAUCAAACAGGAUUAGAUACCCGAGUAGUC